RNAcentral lists this transfer RNA (68 nucleotides) under Pseudomonadota bacterium. Its description in RNAcentral is "Proteobacteria bacterium (marine metagenome) tRNA-OTHER". It matches the Rfam family "tRNA". From Rfam's summary of the family: Transfer RNA (tRNA) molecules are approximately 80 nucleotides in length. Lineage: Bacteria; Pseudomonadati; Pseudomonadota. The record is from RNAcentral.
CGGAGUAUAGCUCAGUUUGAUAGAGCACUGUGUUUGGGACGUAGGUUUAAGUCCUACUACUCCGACCA